Molecule: ribosomal RNA, 467 nt
Filed under: uncultured bacterium
Lineage: Bacteria
Description: partial 16S ribosomal RNA
Rfam family: Bacterial small subunit ribosomal RNA
Source: RNAcentral
GACGAACGCUGGCGGCGUGCUUAACACAUGCAAGUCGAACGGAAAGGCUCCAGCUUGCUGGAGUACUCGAGUGGCGAACGGGUGAGUAACACGGGGGUAAUCUGCCCUGCACUCUGGGAUAAGCCUGGGAAACUGGGUCUAAUAAUGGAUAUGACCUUUCUCCUUAUGGGGUUUGGUGGAAAGUUUUUCGGUGUAGGAUGAGCCCGCGGCCUAUCAGCUUGUUGGUGGGGUGAUGGCCUACCAAGGCGACGACGGGUAGCCGGCCUGAGAGGGUGAUUGGCCACAUUGGGACUGAGAUACGGCCCAGACUCCUACGGGAGGCAGCAGUGGGGAAUAUUGCACAAUGGGCGGAAGCCUGAUGCAGCGACGCCGCGUGAGGGAUGACGGCCUUCGGGUUGUAAACCUCUUUCAGCAGGGACGAAGCGUAAGUGACGGUACCUGCAGAAGAAGCACCGGCUAACUAUGUG